RNAcentral lists this ribosomal RNA (435 nucleotides) under uncultured bacterium. Its description in RNAcentral is "partial 16S ribosomal RNA". It matches the Rfam family "Bacterial small subunit ribosomal RNA", at positions 29 to 507 of the family's 1533-position model. The record is from RNAcentral.
AGCGAACGCUGGCGGCAGGCUUAACACAUGCAAGUCGAACGGGCAUCUUCGGAUGUCAGUGGCAGACGGGUGAGUAACACGUGGGAACGUACCCUUCGGUUCGGAAUAACUCAGGGAAACUUGAGCUAAUACCGGAUACGCCCUUUUGGGGAAAGGUUUACUGCCGAAGGAUCGGCCCGCGUCUGAUUAGCUUGUUGGUGGGGUAACGGCCUACCAAGGCGACGAUCAGUAGCUGGUCUGAGAGGAUGAUCAGCCACACUGGGACUGAGACACGGCCCAGACUCCUACGGGAGGCAGCAGUGGGGAAUAUUGGAAAAUGGGAGCGAGCCUGAUCCAGCCAUGCCGCGUGAGUGAUGAAGGCCUUAGGGUUGUAAAGCUCUUUUGUCCGGGACGAUAAUGACGGUACCGGAAGAAUAAGCCCCGGCUAACUUCGUG